UUUUGCUGGAGAUCCCUGUGUACCUGAGGCCUUUUGAAGGUGAGAAGAGUUCAGCAGGUGCUGAGUAUGAGACUUUUGCAGUGUGUGGAGGAGAGAGAUGGGCACCCCGUGGCUCUUUGCUGCAACCACCAAGCCUCCAAGGGUCAAAAGGUGAAAAUGAUUGAGGUACCUUUUGCUAUGAAUAUUUCACGAGCCGCAUAUCCCUUUUUCACUGAGAUCUAUGUGCUGACUGAGGGCUUCUUCGGGAUGAGUCCUUAGUUGACUGAUGAAUACAAAACACUUCUCGAACAAAAGGCAUUCAAGAUUAGCGGAAGACAAGACAGCCUACUUUAGUUUCUGUGAGCAGUACCUGGAGUAUCAAUGGAGAUAAAACACUGAGUGACAGGUAACUGAAAUACUGAAUAACACAAUAUAUUGUUCUCCUAUUGAUUGGGGAAAUAAUGAGAAAGUUAGCAAGUCACGGUAAUGUCACAGACAGCGAUGAACUUCGGAAAACUCAAGGACCAGAAAGUAACAUGAAACAAGGAGCAAAAUGAAGAUAAUAUUUGGUUACAGUACAGUUCUCAAAUGGUAGUGAAACACAUCCCAUCGCCUUUGAGUAUGCACGGUUUUUAAAAUGAAGACAAAGGGAAGAAAUUGCUGGCUGAAACAAUAUAGCUAUUUUAUUUUACUACAGACAGUAAUGUGAACUUCUUGGAAGACAUCUUCUUUCACCACACUAUUGCAGACGGGCACAUUUAGGAGCUAUGAACCAAAAUUAUCCUCUCUCUGCAUAACCUUUCUAGUGUCAUAUCCCGCAAGGCCCUCUGGUAAUUGAACAUAUUCAGUACCAAGAAUCAGCUAUUGUUUCACUGUGGUGUGGAGGUUUCAAAGACAAUCCCUUUGAAGAGGCUACUCAUUCAAAAGAGAAGCAGCACCUUUGCAAAACACAUCUAGAGAAAGCCUUUUUUUUUCUCUUCUCACACUGACUCAACUCUUGGGAAAGUUUAGCUUGCCCAUCUCCAUAACUGAGGGAUGCUCCCUGCUUUCCUGUAGCGCUGCACGAGACCCCAUCCUCCUGACACCUGCUGCCUUGCCUCUGUGCCAAGUCAAAGUUAGACCAGUGAAAAUAACCAUGCUGGCCUCCCAGUGCUUCCCAGAAUUUCUGCAUUCAGAUAAUUUUACAAGCUUCUCCAUGCCACUGUCCUUCUGUCACUUGAAUAGAACAGAGCUCAUGUUGGCCACAAAUAUUUCCUCCGAAGACAAGCAAAAUCCCACACAAAGGAAGGAAACUCUCUUUUCCUCAUUUGAAAUGAGACAACUUAAUAUUAAAUGAAUACAAAAUUACAUUGUGCUGAUCAUCCACUUUUCCAUUUUUUUUUCUUAUUCUUCUUGAAGACUUGUCUACUUCCUGGGAAGGAGAUACUCUAAAAAUUUUCUGGUGGUCUUUAUUUGUAGGUACAAUCUCGAACUGCAUUGUCCUAGUGCAGGACUUAGUUCAAUAGCCUUACCAUCACAGCAGCAAAACACUUCAGAUGAAUUUUAGAUCUAGAGGAAUUCAGCAUCUACUUUUAAUGGGAUUUUAGCACCCACUAUUUCAGCACCUGUCUGUGAUUUCCUUCUGAAAAUUAAGCAAGGGAUGAGCAGGGAUAGGGCAGAAAGUGUUUGUCCAACUCCUGCCCACCUUAUCCUUGCAAGGUCUGGGAUCACAUGCCUGCCUGGGUCCUGCAGCUUGCAAAUGCUUUUUGGUCCAUUAGCUCAGAGAAAGCCUCAUCUCUCUUUGAAGAAGUCCAGAUCAAAACUGUGAAUUCCAUAUCCGAUUUGAUUCUCUUUUCUGAUAUGAAGAGGUCAAACGAAUUGUUAUGCUAACAUGAUAGUGGAACAUAGAAAUGUCAUGAUAGCUGGCCUGGUAAUGCAGAAUUAAUGUAGACAUUCAGAAUGCAAUCUUUGCAAAACUCUCCACCCUGCAGAUGUAAUAAACAUGUGGCAAGUAAGCUCCAUUAGGCCUACUCAGCAACCU
Molecule: long non-coding RNA, 1999 nt
Filed under: Gallus gallus (chicken)
Lineage: Eukaryota; Metazoa; Chordata; Aves; Galliformes; Phasianidae
Description: lncRNA (ENSGALG00010021398.1)
Source: RNAcentral